This 408-nucleotide ribosomal RNA is filed under the name uncultured bacterium. Its description in RNAcentral is "partial 16S ribosomal RNA". It matches the Rfam family "Bacterial small subunit ribosomal RNA", at positions 28 to 526 of the family's 1533-position model. The record is from RNAcentral.
GACGAACGCUGGCGGCGUGCUUAACACAUGCAAGUCGAACGAAGUGGCGAACGGGUGAGUAACGCGUAAUCAACCUGCCAUUCAGAGGGGGCCAACAGUUGGAAACGACUGCUAAUACCGCAUACUGAAGGAGGGGAUUGCGUCUGAUUGGCUAGUUGGGGGGGUAACGGCCCACAAAGGCGAUGAUCAGAAGCCGGUCGGAGCGGAUGAACGGCCACAUUGGGACUGAGACACGGCCCAGACUCCUACGGGAUGAAGCAGUGGGGAAUCUUCCGCAAUGGACGAAAGUCUGACGGAGCAACGCCGCGGGAGUGAUGACGGCCUUCGGGUUGUAAAGCUCUGUUAAUCGGGACGCGGUACCGGAAUAGAAAGCCACGGCUAACUACGUGCCAGCCGCCGCGGUAAUUC